This 279-nucleotide unclassified non-coding RNA is filed under the name plant metagenome. RNAcentral's name for it is "partial contains small subunit ribosomal RNA, internal transcribed spacer 1, and 5.8S ribosomal RNA". The record is from RNAcentral.
UUUCCGUAGGUGAACCUGCGGAAGGAUCAUUAGCGAAUGAUACCUCCUGUUUAAAACACCUGCUGCUUUCAGCUGUUCGCCUUCGGGCUUGCACUUUGGAUGUAGCAGAGUCAUAACACACCUGUGCACCGUUCAGCUGUCGAGGGCUGAAAAGCCCUUGCGUUUGCCCUUUACACAAAACACAGUCUGUGAAUGUCAUAUAAACUUAAACAAAUACAACUUUCAAUAACGGAACCCUUAGCCCUCGCAUCGAUGAAUAACGCAGCAGAUCAGAAAAGC